CUGACCCAAUAUAAAAAGUUUUUCCUGCCCAGUGAUUAUUAAACGGCCGCGUUUUCGUGCAAAGGUAGCAUAAUCAUUUGUUCCCUAAUUAGGAACUAGAAUGAAUGGAUUUACAAAAAAUUUCUUUCUAAAUUUUACUUCUAAAACUUAAUCUAUGAAUGAAAAAUUUCAUAUCCUAUAAAAAGACCAAAAGACCCUAGCGAGCUUAAGUACCCCCUAAAUUUAUCUAGUUUUACUUUAAAUUGGGACGAUUCAAGAUAUUUUCCAUCUUUUCAUAAUCUAAACUAUAAUUUUACCUUUUAUAUACUCAAUCAAGUUACCGUAGGGAUAACAGGCUACUCAAUUUUAAAAGUUCACAUUUACAAAUUGUCUUAGCACCUCGAUGUUGGCUUAAGAAUACUUUAAAAUGCAACAGUUUUAAGUAGUAGGCUUGUUCCGCCUUUAAUUUCUUACGUGAUCU
RNAcentral lists this ribosomal RNA (460 nucleotides) under Ophryotrocha sp. n. 9 JP-2021. RNAcentral's name for it is "partial large subunit ribosomal RNA". It matches the Rfam family "Bacterial large subunit ribosomal RNA", at positions 1835 to 2606 of the family's 2925-position model. Lineage: Eukaryota; Metazoa; Annelida; Polychaeta; Eunicida; Dorvilleidae. The record is from RNAcentral.